AACGACAACUGGGAUAGCAAAGUCAUUUCAAUCGCGUACAUGCCGCUCACGAUUUAAUUAAUCAUUUCGAGGCUCGUUUUUGGUGUCACUUUGAUCUAGAUCUUGCAGCUGAAAGCAGUCCUGCAUUCAGAGUGCCAAUAGCGACCUCCACGCACAAGGAUUCCUGAAUUGAUAAUUUUAGAAGUAAGAGUUCUUCGGCUUGAUUGCAGAGCAGCAUAAAGAGCAAGCAAGUAAUUCGAAAACGGCUUUGAGGAAAAGUGCUUGUGACCGAUAUUUGAUAUGUCGCAACUUCGCAAGAGGACAGCAGCGACCGUUGAGGAGGUGUGUAAGAGGAUGUAUGCGAAAAGACACGCUUAUAUCUCAGUUCUCUGCAGCAGAGGAAGGCUCCAGUCUCUUCAUCACGUUCUCAUGGAGUCAGAUCUGAGCUGCCCUGUAUCUGUAGGAGACCGUGGACGAUGUCGACGAGAAAAAAAGCGCAGAAAAGAAUGAGUGCGUGACUCCAUUAUACUGUUGUCUCAUAGUCUGCAGUUUCAGCUGCCCUGCUGAAAAGUUCCCUGCUUUUUAAAGUAAUAGUCUAGCUGUGUGUGCAGGGACCUGCCGACGUACUGGGAAAUCGUGAAAUUUGUCCUUGUGGGGAUUA
RNAcentral lists this long non-coding RNA (640 nucleotides) under Coccomyxa subellipsoidea. RNAcentral describes it as "long non-coding RNA (CSUB_LNC000093)". The record is from RNAcentral. Lineage: Eukaryota; Viridiplantae; Chlorophyta; Trebouxiophyceae; Coccomyxaceae.